Mastomys coucha (southern multimammate mouse) is the source of this 346-nucleotide long non-coding RNA. RefSeq lists it as uncharacterized. The transcript is spliced from 3 exons. Lineage: Eukaryota; Metazoa; Chordata; Mammalia; Rodentia; Muridae. The record is from RefSeq and is a predicted model, not a curated record.
AACAAAAGGGAAUAAGAAGCAACACAUCAUGAUAUUUCCUCUGUCAGCACCAGGUCUCCAUCUAAGGAUAACAGGCUGAGAAAAAGCAUAAUAACCUUCUGUUGCUUGAGACACAGAGACUGGUACACUCUGCAACACUGCACCUACACUCAACAGGGAGGGAUUGCAAAUUGAGAAGAGAUGAAUGACUUCAUGAAGAAAUUUCUAAAACAAUAAUAAUAUAACAUUUUAUAUUUUAUUAAUUCAUUUAUUUAUUUGCAUUGAAGCAAUUCUGCCUCUCUGUCCCCCUCACUAAGUCCCUACCCCAUCACCCUUCUCUCUGAGAGGGUGGGGCCCCACCUGAGUA